AACGAACGCUGGCGGCAUGCCUAACACAUGCAAGUCGAACGAGACCUUCGGGUCUAGUUGCGCACGGGUGCGUAACGCGUGGGAACCUGCCUUUAGGUUCGGAAUAACUCAGAGAAAUUUGAGCUAAUACCGGAUGAUGUCUUCGGACCAAAGAUUUAUCGCCUUUAGAUGGGCCCGAGUUGGAUUAGCUAGUUGGUGGGGUAAAGGCCUACCAAGGCGACGAUCCACAGCUGGUCUGAGAGGAUGGUCAGCCACACUGGGACUGAGACACGGCCCAGACUCCUACGGGAGGCAGCAGUGGGGAAUAUUGGACACUGGGCGAAAGCCUGAUCCAGCAAUGCCGCGUGAGUGAUGAAGGCCUUAGGGUUGUAAAGCUCUUUUACCCGAGAUGAUAAUGACAGUAUCGGGAGAAUAAGCUCCGGCUAACUCCGUG
RNAcentral lists this ribosomal RNA (433 nucleotides) under uncultured bacterium. Its description in RNAcentral is "partial 16S ribosomal RNA". It matches the Rfam family "Bacterial small subunit ribosomal RNA", at positions 29 to 507 of the family's 1533-position model. The record is from RNAcentral.